GACGAACGCUGGCGGCGUGCUUAACACAUGCAAGUCGAGCGGAAAGGCCCUUUCGGGGGUACUCGAGCGGCGAACGGGUGAGUAACACGUGAGUAAUCUGCCCCUGGCUUUGGGAUAGCCACCGGAAACGGUGAUUAAUACCGGAUACGACCACUUCUCGCAUGGGAUGGUGGUGGAAAGUUUUUCGGCCAGGGAUGUGCUCGCGGCCUAUCAGCUUGAUGGUGAGGUAAUGGCUCACCAUUGGUUCGACGGGUAGCCGGCCUGAGAGGGUGACCGGUCACAAGGGGACUGAGACACGGCCCAGACUCCUACGGGAGGCAGCAGUGGGGAAUAUUGGACAAUGGGCAGAAGCCUGAUCCAGCAACGCCGCGUGAGGGAUGACGGCCUUCGGGUUGUAAACCUCUUUCAGCAGGGACGAAGCGCAAGUGACGGUACCUGCAGAAGAAGCACCGGCCAACUACGUGCCAGCCGCCGCCGUAA
This 480-nucleotide ribosomal RNA is filed under the name uncultured bacterium. RNAcentral describes it as "partial 16S ribosomal RNA". It matches the Rfam family "Bacterial small subunit ribosomal RNA", at positions 28 to 523 of the family's 1533-position model. The record is from RNAcentral.